UACGUAGGGGGCGAGCGUUGUCCGGAUUUACUGGGCGUAAAGCGCGUGUAGGCGGCCCGUUAAGUGGGGUGUGAAAGCCCGGGGCUCAACCCCGGGACGCCGCUUCAAACUGGCGGGCUUGAGGACGGAAGAGGGGAGUGGAAUUCCUGGUGUAGCGGUGAAAUGCGUAGAGAUCAGGAGGAACACCCGUGGCGAAGGCGGCUCCCUGGUCCGUCCCUGACGCUGAGACGCGAAAGCGUGGGGAGCGAACAGG
Molecule: ribosomal RNA, 253 nt
Filed under: uncultured bacterium
Lineage: Bacteria
Description: partial 16S ribosomal RNA
Rfam family: Bacterial small subunit ribosomal RNA
Source: RNAcentral